AGUGAACGCUGGCGGUAGGCCUAACACAUGCAAGUCGAACGGCAGCACAGUAAGAGCUUGCUCUUACGGGUGGCGAGUGGCGGACGGGUGAGGAAUACAUCGGAAUCUACUUUUUCGUGGGGGAUAACGUAGGGAAACUUACGCUAAUACCGCAUACGACCUACGGGUGAAAGCAGGGGAUCUUCGGACCUUGCGCGAGUGAAUGAGCCGAUGUCGGAUUAGCUAGUUGGCGGGGUAAAGGCCCACCAAGGCGACGAUCCGUAGCUGGUCUGAGAGGAUGAUCAGCCACACUGGAACUGAGACACGGUCCAGACUCCUACGGGAGGAAGCAGUGGGGAAUAUUGGACAAUGGGCGCAAGCCUGAUCCAGCCAUACCGCGUGGGUGAAGAAGGCCUUCGGGUUGUAAAGCCCUUUUGUUGGGAAAGAAAAGCAGCAGGUUAAUACCCCGCUGUUCUGACGGUACCCAAAGAAUAAGCACCGGCUAACUUCGUG
This 492-nucleotide ribosomal RNA is filed under the name uncultured bacterium. RNAcentral describes it as "partial 16S ribosomal RNA". It matches the Rfam family "Bacterial small subunit ribosomal RNA", at positions 29 to 507 of the family's 1533-position model. The record is from RNAcentral.